RNAcentral lists this ribosomal RNA (1677 nucleotides) under Sigmolenchus sinuosus. RNAcentral describes it as "SSU rRNA". The record is from RNAcentral. Lineage: Eukaryota; Metazoa; Nematoda; Chromadorea; Rhabditida; Ecphyadophoridae.
CUCAAAGAAUUAAGCCAUGCAUGCAGAAGUUCAGACGACUAGAUCGUGAAACCGCGAACGGCUCAGUAAUAGAACCAUAACCCACUUGACCUUAACACACUACUGGGAUAACUGUGGUAAUUCUAGAGCUAAUACCUGCCAAAAACCUUACAACAAAGGGGCAUUUAUUACACAAACCGUAUCAACAAUACAGGUGAAUCAGAAUAACUAUGCUGAUCGCAUGGUCUUGUACCGGCGACGUGUCUUUCGGGUGUUUUCCUUAUCAACUUGACGGUCGUAUAUUUGACAACCGUGGUGAUUACGGGUAACGGAGGAUCAGGGUUCGACUCCGGAGAAGGGGCCUGAGAAAUGGCCACUACGUCUAAGGAUGGCAGCAGGCGCGCAAAUUACCCACUCUCAGCAUGAGGAGGUAGUGACGAAGAAUAUCAAGSACGGACUCUCCGAGUUCGUGCAUUGGUCUGAGUACAACWUAAACAAGUGUACGAAUGUCUAUGAGAGGGCAAGUCUGGUGCCAGCAGCCGCGGUAAUUCCAGCUCUCAGAGUGCAUAGAUUGUUUGCUGUGGUUAAAAAGCUCGUAGUUGGAUCUGAAGUCAACGGUGUUUUGCACUUACAAAGUACUGACACUAUUUGGCUUAUGCCUUGAGCGAGCAUAUUGCCUUGAUUGGCGGUGUGUGAGCGAUCGGCGCAUUACUUUGAAUAAAUCAGAGUGCUCAAAGCAGGCGAAAUGCCUAAAUGAGGCGGCAUAGAAUAAUAGAAUAGGGCUUUGGCUCGCAUUUUUAUUGGUUAUUGAGACAAGGCAAUGGUAAAUAGGGACAGACGGGGGCAUCUGUACUCCUGCGCGAGAGGUGAAAUUUUUGGACCGCAGGAAGACAAACUAGAGCGAAGGCAUUUGUCAAGCAUGUCUUCAUUAAUCAAGAACGAAAGUCAGAGGUUCGAAGGCGAUCAGAUACCGCCCUAGUUCUGACCGUAAACGAUGCCAACUAGCGAUCCGCCGGCGGAUAUUUCGCCCUGGUGGGGAGCUUCCCGGAAACGAAAGUCUUCCGGUUCCGGGGGAAGUAUGGUUGCAAAGCUGAAACUUAAAGGAAUUGACGGAAGGGCACCACCAGGAGUGGAGCCUGCGGCUUAAUUUGACUCAACACGGGGAAACUCACCCGGCCCGGACACCGCGAGGAUUGACAGAUUGACAGCUCUUUCAUGAUUCGGUGGAUGGUGGUGCAUGGCCGUUCUUAGUUCGUGGAGCGAUUUGUCUGGUUUAUUCCGAUAACGAGCGAGACUCUAGCCUGCUAAAUAGUCUGCACAUUCGCAUGUGUGUGCUCAGACUUCUUAGAGGGAUUUUCGGCGUUCAGCCYCACGAGAUUGAGCAAUAACAMGUCUGUGAUGCCCUUAGAUGUCCGGGGCUGCACGCGCGCUACACUGGCGAAMGCAGCGUGCCUGUCCUGUCCCGAAAGGGARGGGUAAACCAUUGAAAAUUUGCCGUGAUUGGGAUCGGGAAUUGCAAUUAUUUUCCGUGAACGAGGAAUUCCAAGUAAGUGCGAGUCAUCAACUCGCGUUGAUUACGUCCCUGCCCUUUGUACACACCGCCCGUCGCUGCCCGGGACUGAGCCAUUUCGAGAAAUUUGGGGAUUGGCGCUGGAGCCCCGCGAGGGGUUCCUUCGCUGCGAACCAACUUAAUCGCAG